Molecule: ribosomal RNA, 705 nt
Filed under: Streptomyces sp.
Lineage: Bacteria; Bacillati; Actinomycetota; Actinomycetes; Kitasatosporales; Streptomycetaceae
Description: bacterial SSU rRNA
Rfam family: Bacterial small subunit ribosomal RNA
Source: RNAcentral
CUCCUUCGGGAGGGGAUUAGUGGCGAACGGGUGAGUAACACGUGGGCAAUCUGCCCUGCACUCUGGGACAAGCCCUGGAAACGGGGUCUAAUACCGGAUACUGAUCAUCUUGGGCAUCCUUGGUGAUCGAAAGCUCCGGCGGUGCAGGAUGAGCCCGCGGCCUAUCAGCUUGUUGGUGAGGUAAUGGCUCACCAAGGCGACGACGGGUAGCCGGCCUGAGAGGGCGACCGGCCACACUGGGACUGAGACACGGCCCAGACUCCUACGGGAGGCAGCAGUGGGGAAUAUUGCACAAUGGGCGAAAGCCUGAUGCAGCGACGCCGCGUGAGGGAUGACGGCCUUCGGGUUGUAAACCUCUUUCAGCAGGGAAGAAGCGAAAGUGACGGUACCUGCAGAAGAAGCGCCGGCUAACUACGUGCCAGCAGCCGCGGUAAUACGUAGGGCGCGAGCGUUGUCCGGAAUUAUUGGGCGUAAAGAGCUCGUAGGCGGCUUGUCGCGUCGGUUGUGAAAGCCCGGGGCUUAACCCCGGGUCUGCAGUCGAUACGGGCAGGCUAGAGUUCGGUAGGGGAGAUCGGAAUUCCUGGUGUAGCGGUGAAAUGCGCAGAUAUCAGGAGGAACACCGGUGGCGAAGGCGGAUCUCUGGGCCGAUACUGACGCUGAGGAGCGAAAGCGUGGGGAGCGAACAGGAUUAGAUACCCUGGUAGU